ACCCAUCACCAUGCACAACCACCCAUCAGCAGGUCCAACCACCCAUCACAGGAGGCCCAAGCACCCAUCAGAAGAUCCAAGCACCCAUCGGAAGGCCCAAGCACCCAUCGGCUCCUGCUGCCCCCCAACCUUUGGGGCUGAGGUCCAUGCCCUCCACGUAGAAGACCCCGUUGCGCAGGGCGAUCUCCUGCAGGAUGAUGC
This is a long non-coding RNA of Pezoporus occidentalis (night parrot), 201 nucleotides long. RefSeq lists it as uncharacterized. The record is from RefSeq and is a predicted model, not a curated record. The transcript is spliced from 3 exons. NCBI's taxonomy places the organism in Eukaryota, Metazoa, Chordata, Aves, Psittaciformes, Psittacidae.